This 245-nucleotide ribosomal RNA is filed under the name uncultured bacterium. RNAcentral describes it as "partial 16S ribosomal RNA". It matches the Rfam family "Bacterial small subunit ribosomal RNA", at positions 524 to 768 of the family's 1533-position model. The record is from RNAcentral.
UACGUAAGGGGCUAGCGUUGCUCGGAAUUACUGGGCGUAAAGGGCGUGUAGGCGGAUAUCCAAGUCGAAUGUAAAAAACCGCAGCUUAACUGCGGGACUGCGUUCGAAACUGGUUAUCUUGAGUCUGGUGGAGGGUAAUGGAAUUCCCGGUGUAGCGGUGAAAUGCGUAGAUAUCGGGAAGAACACCGAAGGCUAAAGCAGUUAUCUAUGCCAAGACUGACGCUGAGGCGCGAAAGCAUGGGGAU